Molecule: long non-coding RNA, 312 nt
Filed under: Equus asinus (donkey)
Lineage: Eukaryota; Metazoa; Chordata; Mammalia; Perissodactyla; Equidae
Description: lncRNA (ENSEASG00005031364.1)
Source: RNAcentral
GGAUCCUGGGCUCAGAGGGACACGGCACCGCUCAUCAGGCCACGCUGAGGAAGAUUAGCCCUGAGCUAACAUCUGCUGCCAAUCCUCCUCAUUUUGCUGAGGAAGACUGGCCCUGAGCUCACAUCCGUGCCCAUCUUCCUCUACUUUAUAUGUGGGAUGCCUACCACAGCAUGGCUUGCCAAGCAGUGCCAUGUCUGCACCUGGGAUCUGAACCAGUGAACCCUGGGCCACCGAGAAGCGGAACGUGCACACUUAACUGCUAUGCCACCAGGCCAGCCCCUCCAGAAUCUUUUUAUCUUGCAGAACUGAAAC